AUGAACGCUGGCGGCGUGCCUAACACAUGCAAGUCGAGCGGCAGCGAGGGGUGCUUGCACCCUGUCGGCGAGCGGCGGACGGCUGAGUAACGCGUGGGAACGUGCCCCAAAGUGAGGAAUAACUGCCCGAAAGGGUAGCUAAUACCGCAUAUUAUCUUCGGAUCAAAGGAUUUAUCCGCUUUGGGAGCGGCUCGCGUCGGAUUAGGUAGUUGGUGAGGUAAUGGCUCACCAAGCCGACGAUCCGUAGCUGGUCUGAGAGGAUGACCAGCCAGACUGGAACUGAGACACGGCCCAGACUCCUACGGGAGGCAGCAGUGAGGAAUCUUCCACAAUGGUCGAAAGCCUGAUGGAGCAACGCCGCGUGCAGGACGAAGGCCUUCGGGUUGUAAACUGCUUUUAUAAGUGAGGAAUAUGACGGUAACUUAUGAAUAAGGAUCGGCUAACUACGUG
This 450-nucleotide ribosomal RNA is filed under the name uncultured bacterium. Its description in RNAcentral is "partial 16S ribosomal RNA". It matches the Rfam family "Bacterial small subunit ribosomal RNA", at positions 29 to 507 of the family's 1533-position model. The record is from RNAcentral.